CCUUAAAGGUGAAACCGCGAACGGCUCAUUACAACAGCUAUUAUUUACUUGAUCUUGAUAUCCUACGUGGAUAACUGUGGUAAUUCUAGAGCUAAUACAUGCACCAAAGCUCCGAUUCUUGACGAGCGCAUCUAUUAGAUUAAAACCAAUCGGAUUUCGGUCCGUCAUUUGGUGACUCUGAAUAGCUAUGGCUGAUCGCAUGGUCUUGUACCGGCGACGUAUCUAUCAAGUGUCUGCCUUAUCAACUUUCGAUGGUAGUUUAUGUGCCUACCAUGGUUGUUACGGGUAACGGAGAAUAAGGGUUCGACUCCGGAGAGGGAGCCUGAGAAACGGCUACCACAUCCAAGGAAGGCAGCAGGCGCGCAAAUUACCCACUCUCGGCAUGAGGAGGUAGUGACGAAAAAUAACGAGACCGUUCUCUAUGAGGCCGGUUAUCGGAAUGGGUACAAUUUAAACCCGUUAACGAGGAUCUAUGAGAGGGCAAGUCUGGUGCCAGCAGCCGCGGUAAUUCCAGCUCUCAAAGUGUAUAUCGUCAUUGCUGCGGUUAAAAAGCUCGUAGUUGGAUCUGCGCCUCAGGACUCGGUCCGCCCACUGGGUGAGAACUGGGCUCCUAGGCUAAUACUGCUGGUUUUCCCUAUGUUGCCUUUACCGGUCGCGUAGGGUGGCUAGCGAGUUUACUUUGAAAAAAUUAGAGUGCUUCACGCGGGCUAUUGUCUGAAUACUCGUGCAUGGAAUAAUAGAAUAGGAUCUCGGUUCUAUUUUGUUGGUUUUCUGAUCUGAGAUAAUGGUUAAGAGGGACGGACGGGGGCAUUCGUAUCGCUGCGUGAGAGGUGAAAUUCUUGGACCGUAGCGAGACGUCCGACUGCGAAAGCAUUUGCCAAGAAUGUCUUCAUAAU
This 896-nucleotide ribosomal RNA is filed under the name Cosmocerca sp. RNAcentral's name for it is "SSU rRNA". It matches the Rfam family "Eukaryotic small subunit ribosomal RNA", at positions 73 to 977 of the family's 1831-position model. The record is from RNAcentral. Lineage: Eukaryota; Metazoa; Nematoda; Chromadorea; Rhabditida; Cosmocercidae.